This is a long non-coding RNA of Taeniopygia guttata (zebra finch), 630 nucleotides long. NCBI's taxonomy places the organism in Eukaryota, Metazoa, Chordata, Aves, Passeriformes, Estrildidae. The record is from Ensembl.
UUUAACACAGCAGCAUUCUUUCAGAUCAGUUCAUUGUUUCUCUUUUCCUCAGGUAGAUUACUAACCCUAACAAAUUACUGGUGGUUUUUGAUUUUUCUGCAGCCAGCAGCACAGCUGACCCCCCUCAAAGAGGUUCCAAAAGGACAGAAGCACAACUCAUUCUUUUCACCCCAACUCAUGGACAGGAAAACCUUUCACAGCUCUCAUCCCAAUUUCUUAUGUGGACCAAAACAGCCUUGUCUCAUCCAGCAGAUGUUCUCUUCAUCAAAGUCCCAUGGACAACUGGACAAAGCCUCUUCUUUCAGUGCUGGGUAAGAAGAAUCUACAUCAUGAACUGAAGACACAAUCUGGAGGAAAUGAUAGAGAUGGAGAAGGACCAGCUAUAAAUAUCAGAAGGUUCACACCAGAACAGUGAGGAAAAGGCAGAUGUGGUUGUAGAGCAUGUCCAGCAAGCUGCCUGAGAUGAAGAGCUCCUCUGAGGCUGCUCCUGAGCUGCUCCUGGGUCAGUUCACUCUGCCAGCCUCAUGUUCACUGCUGUGUGCAGAGGUUCAGGUGCUCUUUCCUCUCUGCUCCACGGAGAUCUCUUCCCAGCAGGAAGCCUGAGCAGGUGGGUGAGGGAUCAGACUGGCC